Molecule: ribosomal RNA, 539 nt
Filed under: uncultured Bacteroidota bacterium
Lineage: Bacteria; Pseudomonadati; Bacteroidota
Description: bacterial SSU rRNA
Rfam family: Bacterial small subunit ribosomal RNA
Source: RNAcentral
AGACGGGUGAGGAACACGUACGCAACUUUCCUCAAACCGGGGCACAACCUUGAGAAAUCAGGGCUAAUUCCCCAUAACAUUGCGAGAGGGCAUCUGAUUGCAAUUAAAGAUUCGUCGGUUUGAGGUGGGCGUGCGUUCGAUUAGCUAGUUGGUAGGGUAACGGCUUACCAAGGCAACGAUCGAUAGCUGGUGUGAGAGCACGACCAGCCACACGGGCACUGAGAUACGGGCCCGACUCCUACGGGAGGCAGCAGUAAGGAAUAUUGGUCAAUGGACGAAAGUCUGAACCAGCCAUGCCGCGUGAGGGAUGAAGGUCCUCUGGAUUGUAAACCUCUUUUAUCUAUGAAGAAAUGUCCUGUUUCUACGGGAUUUGACGGUAAUAGAUGAAUAAGCACCGGCUAACUCCGUGCCAGCAGCCGCGGUAAUACGGAGGGUGCAAGCGUUAUCCGGAUUUACUGGGUUUAAAGGGUGCGUAGGUGGGUUGGUAAGUCAGUGAUGAAAUACUUUCGCUUAACGAAGGAACUGCCAUUGAUACUACC